This is a long non-coding RNA of Oncorhynchus keta (chum salmon), 218 nucleotides long. RefSeq lists it as uncharacterized. The record is from RefSeq and is a predicted model, not a curated record. Lineage: Eukaryota; Metazoa; Chordata; Actinopteri; Salmoniformes; Salmonidae. The transcript has 4 exons.
GGUCCAUCUACUAUCCUUCUGACCCAGGUCCCAUCUACUAUCCAUCUGACCCUAUGUAGCCAGGUCCAUCUACUAUCCUUCAGACCCUAUGUAGCCAGGUCCAUCUACUAUCCAUCUGACCCGAUGUAGCCAGGUCCAUCUACUAUCCAUCUGACCCUAUGUAGCCAGGUCCAUCUACUAUCCAUCUGACCCUAUGUAGCCAGGUCCAUCUACUAUCC